RNAcentral lists this ribosomal RNA (1340 nucleotides) under uncultured bacterium. RNAcentral describes it as "bacterial SSU rRNA". It matches the Rfam family "Bacterial small subunit ribosomal RNA", at positions 28 to 1381 of the family's 1533-position model. The record is from RNAcentral.
GACGAACGCUGGCGGCGUGCUUAACACAUGCAAGUCGAACGAGGAUGUUGGCUUCGGCUGACAUUCGAGUGGCGGACGGGUGAGUAACGCGUGAGCAAUCUGUCCCACAGAGGGGGAUAACAACUGGAAACAGUUGCUAAUACCGCAUAAGACCACACUGUCGCAUGACAGAGAGGUCAAAGGAGCAAUCCGCUGUGGGGUGAGCUCGCGUCCGAUUAGUUCGUUGGUGAGGUAACGGCCCACCAAGACAGCGAUCGGUAGCCGACCUGAGAGGGUGAUCGGCCACAUUGGGACUGAGACACGGCCCAGACUCCUACGGGAGGCAGCAGUGGGGAAUAUUGGGCAAUGGGCGAAAGCCUGACCCAGCAACGCCGCGUGAGGGAAGAAGGUUUUCGGAUUGUAAACCUCUGUCCUAAGGGACGAAGGAAGUGACGGUACCUUAGGAGGAAGCCCCGGCUAACUACGUGCCAGCAGCCGCGGUAAUACGUAGGGGGCGAGCGUUGUCCGGAAUGACUGGGCGUAAAGGGCGUGUAGGCGGCAGUAUAAGUCCGGAGUGAAAGUCCUGCUUUCAAGGUGGGAAUUGCUUUGGAGACUGUACAGCUUGAGUGCGGAAGAGGUAAGUGGAAUUCCCAGUGUAGCGGUGAAAUGCGUAGAGAUUGGGAGGAACACCAGUGGCGAAGGCGACUUACUGGGCCGUAACUGACGCUGAGGCGCGAAAGCGUGGGGAGCGAACAGGAUUAGAUACCCUGGUAGUCCACGCGGUAAACGAUGAAUGCUAGGUGUAGGGGGUAUCGACCCCUUCUGUGCCGGAGUAAACACAAUAAGCAUUCCGCCUGGGGAGUACGGCCGCAAGGUUGAAACUCAAAGGAAUUGACGGGGGCCCGCACAAGCAGCGGAGCAUGUGGUUUAAUUCGACGCAACGCGAAGAACCUUACCAGGUCUUGACAUCGAUCCAAAGCUACAGAGAUGUAGUGUGACUUCGGUCAGGAGAAGACAGGUGGUGCAUGGUUGUCGUCAGCUCGUGUCGUGAGAUGUUGGGUUAAGUCCCGCAACGAGCGCACCCUUAUUGUCAGUUACUAACGGGUAAAGCUGAGGACUCUGACGAGACUGCCGGGGACAACUCGGAGGAAGGUGGGGACGACGUCAAAUCAUCAUGCCCCUUAUGACCUGGGCUACACACGUGCUACAAUGGUGGUAACAAAGAGGAGCGAGCCCGUAAGGGUAAGCGGAUCUCAAAAAAGCCAUCUCAGUUCGGAUUGUGGGCUGCAACCCGCCCACAUGAAGUUGGAGUUGCUAGUAAUCGCGAAUCAGCAUGUCGCGGUGAAUACGUUCCCGGGCCU